AGAGUUUGAUCCUGGCUCAGGACGAACGCUGGCGGCGUGCUUAACACAUGCAAGUCGAGCGGAAAAGGCCCUUCGGGGUACUCGAGCGGCGAACGGGUGAGUAACACGUGAGCAAUCUGCCCUUAGCUUCGGGAUAGCUCCGGGAAACCGGAAUUAAUACCGGAUAUUACUAUGGCCGACAUCAGCCAUGGUGGAAAGUUUUUCGGCUAGGGAUGAGCUCGCGGCCUAUCAGCUAGUUGGUGGGGUAACGGCCUACCAAGGCGACGACGGGUAGCCGGCCUGAGAGGGCGACCGGCCACACUGGGACUGAGACACGGCCCAGACUCCUACGGGAGGCAGCAGUGGGGAAUAUUGCGCAAUGGGCGAAAGCCUGACGCAGCGACGCCGCGUGGGGGAUGAAGGCCUUCGGGUUGUAAACCCCUUUCAGCAGGGACGAAGCGAAAGUGACGGUACCUGCAGAAGAAGCGCCGGCUAACUACGUGCCAGCAGCCGCGGUAACACGUAGGGCGCAAGCGUUGUCCGGAAUUAUUGGGCGUAAAGAGCUCGUAGGCGGUCUGCUACGUCCGCUGUGAAAACCUAGGGCUUAACCCUGGGCUUGCAGUAGAUACGGGCAGACUAGAGGUAGGUAGGGGAGAAUGGAAUUCCCGGUGUAGCGGUGAAAUGCGCAGAUAUCGGGAGGAACACCGGUGGCGAAGGCGGUUCUCUGGGCCUUACCUGACGCUGAGGAGCGAAAGCGUGGGGAGCAAACAGGAUUAGAUACCCCGGUAGUCC
RNAcentral lists this ribosomal RNA (771 nucleotides) under uncultured bacterium. RNAcentral describes it as "bacterial SSU rRNA". It matches the Rfam family "Bacterial small subunit ribosomal RNA", at positions 8 to 796 of the family's 1533-position model. The record is from RNAcentral.